ACACAUGCAAGUCGAACGAUGAACCACUUCGGUGGGGAUUAGUGGCGAACGGGUGAGUAACACGUGGGCAAUCUGCCCUGCACUCUGGGACAAGCCCUGGAAACGGGGUCUAAUACCGGAUACUGACCCGCCUGGGCAUCCAGGCGGUUCGAAAGCUCCGGCGGUGCAGGAUGAGCCCGCGGCCUAUCAGCUUGUUGGUGAGGUAACGGCUCACCAAGGCGACGACGGGUAGCCGGCCUGAGAGGGCGACCGGCCACACUGGGACUGAGACACGGCCCAGACUCCUACGGGAGGCAGCAGUGGGGAAUAUUGCACAAUGGGCGAAAGCCUGAUGCAGCGACGCCGCGUGAGGGAUGACGGCCUUCGGGUUGUAAACCUCUUUCAGCAGGAAAGAAGCGAAAGUGACGGUACCUGCAAAAAAAGCGCCGGCUAACUACGUGCCAGCAGCCGCGGUAAUACGUAGGGCGCGAGCGUUGUCCGGAAUUAUUGGGCGUAAAGAGCUCGUAGGCGGCUUGUCGCGUCGGUUGUGAAAGCCCGGGGGCUUAACCCCGGGUCUGCAUUCGAUACGGGCAGGCUAAGAGUUCGGGUAGGGAAAAUCGGAAUUCCUGGU
RNAcentral lists this ribosomal RNA (610 nucleotides) under Streptomyces sp. 6G4. Its description in RNAcentral is "bacterial SSU rRNA". It matches the Rfam family "Bacterial small subunit ribosomal RNA", at positions 51 to 674 of the family's 1533-position model. The record is from RNAcentral. Lineage: Bacteria; Bacillati; Actinomycetota; Actinomycetes; Kitasatosporales; Streptomycetaceae.